RNAcentral lists this microRNA precursor (63 nucleotides) under Euprymna scolopes. RNAcentral's name for it is "Esc-Mir-12511_pre stem-loop". Lineage: Eukaryota; Metazoa; Mollusca; Cephalopoda; Sepiida; Sepiolidae. The record is from RNAcentral.
CCUGAGUUUUCACUGGUGUCAGAGAGUAAAUUAGAUUUAUGACCACGGUGUAGAAUUCAGGUA